GACGAACGCUGGCGGCGUGCUUAACACAUGCAAGUCGAACGCUGAAGCUUGGUGCUUGCACUGGGUGGAUGAGUGGCGAACGGGUGAGUAAUAAGUGAGUAACCUGCCCUUGACUCUGGGAUAAGCCUGGGAAACUGGGUCUAAUACUGGAUACGACAUGUCACCGCAUGGUGGUGUGUGGAAAGGGUUUUACUGGUUUUGGAUGGGCUCACGGCCUAUCAGCUUGUUGGUGGGGUAAUGGCUCACCAAGGCGACGACGGGUAGCCGGCCUGAGAGGGUGACCGGCCACACUGGGUCUGAGACACGGCCCAGACUCCUACGGGAGGCAGCAGUGGGGAAUAUUGCACAAUGGGCGGAAGCCUGAUGCAGCGACGCCGCGUGAGGGAUGACGGCCUUCGGGUUGUAAACCUCUUUCAGCACGGAAGAAGCGAAAGUGACGGUACGUGCAGAAGAAGCGCCGGCUAACUACGUG
RNAcentral lists this ribosomal RNA (472 nucleotides) under uncultured bacterium. RNAcentral describes it as "partial 16S ribosomal RNA". It matches the Rfam family "Bacterial small subunit ribosomal RNA", at positions 28 to 507 of the family's 1533-position model. The record is from RNAcentral.